Molecule: long non-coding RNA, 501 nt
Organism: Galeopterus variegatus (Sunda flying lemur)
Lineage: Eukaryota; Metazoa; Chordata; Mammalia; Dermoptera; Cynocephalidae
Exons: 2
Source: RefSeq, a predicted model, not a curated record
AUUCGAGUUAGUGGGCCACAGAUGGAACUGUCCUUAUUCUGCUGAGAUGAAAAGGGCUGGUGGGGAUAUUCCUAAGAAAUUCAAGGACUCUCAUUCUCAGCAAAGAGCUGGUUAAGGCAGAUUUUAAAUGUGUGACCUUGACCUCCUUCUAUCACAGAAAGGUCUAAAGUUUCAAGUGGUGGAUGUGACCAUUUAAAGGAAACAAACCUACAAUAAAGCACUGUGUAUCAUUAGCCCUUUGUUCCUGGUGUCGGAGCUGCUACCCUUUAGGUCUGGUCUUCAUAUACCUCUGCUCUGAGGGCUGCUGCCAAGCUGUACUGUUUAUUUAUAAUCACUGAGUAUGUCUUCUGAACAAAGAAAGCCCUGUAUGUGUAUGCGCCAAGAACGGGAGGAUACAUGAGAAAAUGUUAGGGCAGCUGCAUCCGGUGAGGGGAACCAGGAGCUGGGGAUCAAAAGGUACAAUUGCCCAUUCAAAAAAUAAAUACAUUUAAAGAUGCCAUA